UAGGGAAUCUUCGGCAAUGGACGAAAGUCUGACCGAGCAACGCCGCGUGAGUGAAGAAGGUUUUCGGAUCGUAAAACUCUGUUGUUAGAGAAGAACAAGGACGUUAGUAACUGAACGUCCCCUGACGGUAUCUAACCAGAAAGCCACGGCUAACUACGUGCCAGCAGCCGCGGUAAUACGUAGGUGGCAAGCGUUGUCCGGAUUUAUUGGGCGUAAAGCGAGCGCAGGCGGUUUCUUAAGUCUGAUGUGAAAGCCCCCGGCUCAACCGGGGAGGGUAAUUGGAAACUGGGAGACUGUAGUGCAGAAGAGGAGGGUGGAAUUCCAAGUGUAGCGGUGAAAUGCGUAAAUAUAUGGAGGAACACCAGUGUCGAAGGCGGCUAUCUGGUCUGUAACAGACGCUGAGGCUCGAAAGCGUGGGGAGCAAACAGG
This 429-nucleotide ribosomal RNA is filed under the name Chloroflexota bacterium. RNAcentral's name for it is "Chloroflexi bacterium partial 16S ribosomal RNA". It matches the Rfam family "Bacterial small subunit ribosomal RNA", at positions 355 to 776 of the family's 1533-position model. Lineage: Bacteria; Bacillati; Chloroflexota. The record is from RNAcentral.